Molecule: long non-coding RNA, 1014 nt
Filed under: Homo sapiens (human)
Lineage: Eukaryota; Metazoa; Chordata; Mammalia; Primates; Hominidae
Description: non-protein coding lnc-BPY2C-19:1
Source: RNAcentral
CCUGAUGCAGAACAGACUGGAGGAGAGAACAGGUGCAAGAUACACCCACUAAUGUCUCAGGGGUCUGGCUCGGUUACUGCUUCCAUGGUUACGGGCUCAGCUAACAAGGAAGGUACACUGGUAUUAGCAAUUCCAUAAACAGCCAAUGGAAGAAAAAAAAUCCAUACAUUUGUUCCAAGCAUGAGAGGGGGGAAAAGAGAGAUUAUUGAUGAUGAAAAAGACCAGCCUUUUAUCAAAAGGAUGUAUUUAACCAUAAGGCUAAUAGAAAGUGCCAGUAGACUCAGAAACAUUUUGGUGAGGGAAAAUGAUGGCUUUACCCAGAAAGUGCUAUCAAUGAGAUUGACAGAGAACAACUCACUAAAUAUUGAAGUAAUGAAAAAAAAUCAAGAAUGCUCUGUAUAGGGCUGCUGCAGAUGACAGGAAGCUUAUGCUGCCUAGUGCAGAUGGCUGCGUCCCUUGCUGAGGUCUUGAUUUUGUUUGCAUUUAAGAAAUGACAGAAACAGAGAAAGCAUUGUAAGAGUGGAUACUGUAAAGAACAUUGUGAAUAGUUUCAUUCAGUUUAAGAAGCCUAUUGUUGUAUCAGCCAAUAGCCCAGCCAUUUGACUAGAUGCAUCCAUACUUCCUCUUUGUGAUUUGGUUUAGGCUAACAAAAAGGCUUGGUUUUAAACUGCUUCUAUGACCUUUGGACAGAGUCCAGGUUGCUGUUUUACCAUUAAAUUUCCCAAGAUGAUGGGUGAAGCAUAGGCCAAUGUAAUGUUGAUUGGUGGGAGAAAGCUGAAAGCAUGGGAGGCAUGUGCCAGAGACCUGGUCUCUCAGGUGUCUUGGACUGCAACUUUUCCCCCAAGUGGUUAUGACUCAAAUUAAGGACUUUGCCUCAUAUAAUUCAGUUGUGCUAGAGAAAAGUAAUGCCCUUAUUUACUGUAAAGUUAAAGAUGAAGUUAAAACAGGUCAAUGAGAGAGUGUGGUGUGCCGAAAAAAAUCUGAAUCUCAGCACAAGGAAUAGAAUCUGUGUUG